Vitis vinifera (wine grape) is the source of this 616-nucleotide long non-coding RNA. RefSeq lists it as uncharacterized. NCBI's taxonomy places the organism in Eukaryota, Viridiplantae, Streptophyta, Magnoliopsida, Vitales, Vitaceae. The transcript is spliced from 2 exons. The record is from RefSeq and is a predicted model, not a curated record.
CAAAAACUGUUUUCCAGAACAGUUUUCAAAAACAGCAACCAAACAGGCCCUAAUUUCGCUAUUAAAAUUAAGCAAUGGGCUUGUUUUCCCUAAAUUACGCGACGGGCUUGUUCCUGGGCCAAGCAACCCAACAACUUGUUAGUUUUCGUCAACAUGUGCGCGCGUUAGGAGUUAGGACCAGCAUCCUCUCUCUGAAUUGUCAGAAAUACCAGAUCACAGCUCUAGGGUUUUAAGUAGGGUUUUGAACUCAAAGACCACAAUUUCAGGCACAGAAAAAUGGCUGGAUUCAGUGGUCUCCCAACUAAGGGCAAGAACGGCAUUGUUGCUGGUGGCUUGACAGCGUUUGUGGUUGGGGUGUAUAUCUACACCAUGAGAGCUGUUGGAGGCACAGAUGAAAUCCAGGUAGCUAUCAACAAGUUUGAGGAGGAGAAAGCCAUGAAAGAGGAUGCACCCAAGACCUGAUCUUAUUCAUACAUACUCCCUUUCAUUCUUGUAAUAAUGCACACAAUGGCAAGCUGUUUUGUUCUAUGAGAAACACAACCUCUUUUGUAUUUGAAUACCUAGGAAGUAAGAACAACUGAAACUUUUAAUAAAUCUUGUUAUUAGCUUUGGUUUA